GGAAUCCCAUGGGUUAGGGCCCUAGAAGGAAGGGGCAUUCAAGAGAGCUGGUUAAUAUUCAAACAUCACCUCCUCCAGGCUCAAGAGCGGUGCAUCCCUAUGAGUAGGAAGUCAAGCAAAGGAGGUAGGAGACCUGCAUGGAUGAGCAAGGAGCUCCUGGCAAAACUCAACCAGAAGAAGGAAGUCUACAGAAAGUGGAAAGGGGGACAGGCCACUUGGGAGGAAUAUAGGAACGUUGUCAGAGUAUGCAGGGAUGCGACGAGGAAGGCUAAGGCCCGUUUGGAAUUAAAUCUGGCGAGAGAUGUCAAGGACAACAAGAAGGGCUUCUUCAAAUACAUCAGUAGCAAGAGGAAGACUAGGGAAAAUGUGGGCCCUUUGCUGAAUGGGGUGGGUGCCCUGGUGACGAAGGAUGCAGAGAAGGCAGAGUUACUGAAUGCCUUCUUUGCUUCAGUCUUUACUGSUCAGGCCAGCCCUCAGGAACCCCAGAUCCUGGAGGCAAGAGAGAAAGUCUGGAGAAAGGAAGACUUUCCCUUGGUCGAGGAGAAUCGGGUUAGAGAUCAUUUAAGCAAACUUGACACCCACAAAUCCAUGGGCCCCGAUGGGAUGCACCCACGAGUGCUGAGGGAGCUGGCGGAUGUCAUUGCUAAGCCACUCUCCAUCAUCUUUGAAAGGUCAUGGAGGACAGGAGAGGUGCCUGAGGACUGGAAGAAAGCCAAUGUCACCCCAGUCUUCAAAAAGGGUAAGAAGGAGGACCCAGGGAACUACAGGCCAGUCAGCCUCACCUGCAUCCCUGGAAAGGUGAUGGAGCAGCUCAUCCUGGAGGCCAUCUCCAAGCAUGUGGAGGAAAGAAGGUGAUCAGGAGUAGUCAGCAUGGCUUCACCAAGGGGAAAUCAUGCCUAACCAAUCUGAUAGCCUUCUAUGAUGGAAUGACUGGCUGGGUAGAUGAGGGGAGAGCAGUGGAUGUUGUCUCCCUUGAGUUCAGCAAGGCUUUUGACACUGUCUCCCAUAACAUCCUCAUAGGGAAGCUCAGGAAGUGUGGGCUAGAUGAGUGGACAGUGAGGUGGAUUGAGAACUGGCUGAAUGGCAGAGCUCAGAGGGUUGUGAUCAGCGGCGCAGUCUAGUUGGAGGCCUGUAGCUAG
RNAcentral lists this long non-coding RNA (1139 nucleotides) under Apteryx owenii (little spotted kiwi). RNAcentral's name for it is "lncRNA (ENSAOWG00000013229.1)". Lineage: Eukaryota; Metazoa; Chordata; Aves; Apterygiformes; Apterygidae. The record is from RNAcentral.